This 84-nucleotide ribosomal RNA is filed under the name Capnocytophaga sp. The record is from RNAcentral. Lineage: Bacteria; Pseudomonadati; Bacteroidota; Flavobacteriia; Flavobacteriales; Flavobacteriaceae.
ACCUCUUACCAUUCCGAACAGAGAAGUUAAACCUUUUAGCGCAGAUGGUACUGCAAUUUGUGGGAGAGUAUGUCGCCGCCUUCU